CCUACGGGAGACAGCAGUGGGGAAUAUUGGGCAAUGGGCGCAAGCCUGACCCAGCAAUGCCGCGUGAAGGAAGAAGGCUUUCGGGUUGUAAACUUCUGUGACAGGGGAAGAGCAGAAGACGGUACCCUGAAAACAAGCCACGGCUAACUACGGGCCAGCAGCCGCGGUAAUACGUAGGUGGCAAGCGUUGUCCGGAUUUACUGGGGGGAAAGGGCGUGUAGCCGGGAAGGCAAGUCAGAGGUGAAAUCCGGAGGCUCCACCUCCGAAUUGCAUUUGAAACUGUUUUUCUUGAGUACUGGAGAGCCAGCCGCAAUUCCUUGUGUAGCGGUGAAAUGCGUAGAUAUAAGGAGGAACCCCAGUGGCGACGGCGGUCUGCUGGACAGCACCUGACGGUGAGGCGCGAACGCGUGGGGAGCAAACAGGAUUAGAUACCCUGGUAGUC
RNAcentral lists this ribosomal RNA (442 nucleotides) under uncultured bacterium. Its description in RNAcentral is "partial 16S ribosomal RNA". It matches the Rfam family "Bacterial small subunit ribosomal RNA", at positions 338 to 795 of the family's 1533-position model. The record is from RNAcentral.